GUGGGCACCAGGUGCUGAAUAAUGUCUCUGUAUAGAGUGAGUGGGUGAUUGGCUAGCUGUCAAACUACAGCGGGGAGGCAGAGCCAGGCUUCUUUCAAGCACAAUCCCUACCUACGUACUGCCAACCCAUCUGCUUCCCCACCACCACCGCCAUCUUGUGCAGUAUUCCGGGCCUGGCUCUGAUGUGGUUUUUUGACCUUUACUUGGCUACUCCCAAAGGAGUACCUUGCACCCCUCAACAGAGAAAACUCCAGGUUAAUCAGCUCAGUGGAAGAUGAAUUAUCCUCCCACAUUCCAUGUGUGAUUGGAGGAGUUCCAAAAAGAACCUUCCAAGGAUGGCGGCCCCACUUCUGGGGAGAUGGGCAGUGGCUCUAGUUCUGGAAAGUGCAUCCCCAGGCACUACGAUAGAUGUGGCUUUGGGUACCUUCCUGCCUCUCACUGUGCCACCUGCAGACUUUGCCAAAGAGAUGAAUCCGGCAAGGACUCUGCUUCUUGUGUAAUCAAGGAAAUAGGAUCAAUCAGAAGGGGACAUCCGCAUCCCGACCCCCAGCGUCUACAUCCUACUACGUGUGUCCUGCGCAUUUGAAUGCCUCCUGCUACAAAGGAUGAGAUGUUUAUGCUCCUGUGUAAGAACCACCCCUCCCGCCUGCCCAGGUGCUCUUGCAGUUGUCUCCUAUCACUUCUGAAUCAUCCUUUUCUCCCCCUCUCCUGAAUCAUUUCAAUCAACAUGCCAAGAUUCUUGAGUAUCUCUCAUCUUAAAAACAAAAAUUCCACCUCUCUUGACCUUAUACCACUCUCCAGCUAUCACCCAUUUUUUCUGUUUGCCUUUACAGCAAAACCCUUAAAGAAUUGUCUCUACUCCUCUGGUUCCUCACUUUGUUUUCUCUCUUGAACCUUCUGCACUCAGCCUUUUGUACCUGUCAUGACACGGAAACCACUCUUAUCUAGGUUGCUAGUUACCUCCAUGUUGCCAAAUUGAAGGUCCAUUCUCUAUCUGACUGUUUAACAGCAUCUAACGCAGUUGUCUGCUCCUUCUUCUAUGAAACACUUGCUUCAUAUCGUCUUGUGAUGUGGCUUUGAUUCUCUUCAUACCUUUCUGCCUGGUGUCAGCCUUCUCUGUUGGAUCCUUCUCCUAGUCCCCAUUUCUGAAUAUUGAUGUGCUGCACAACUCAGCCUUAGGGCUGGGCAGCCUUAGGGCUGCUCUACCAGCUACAUUCACUCCUCAAGUGAUCUCAUCUCAUCCUUUCUCAUGAUAUUAAAUACCACCUACAUGUGUAUAUAUAUUUGUAUGCCAAAAUUACAUCUUCAGUCAUGACCUUUCUCUCUGAAGCCUAGUGUUUAUAUUCAACUGCCUGUUAGAUACCUCUACUUGGAUGUCUAAUAGGAAUGUCAAAUUCACUGUGUCUAAAACCAAGCUCUUGAUUUGCUUCUUUCAGAUUGGCGUCUCCCCCACUGUUGUCCUUCUCAGUAAAUGCAAUCACUGUUCAUCUUGCUGCUCAUGCCAAAAAUCUUGCAGUUAAUCUUGAGUCCUUUCUUCUAAUUUAUUAGCUAAGCCUGUAGGCUCUACCAUCAAAAUAUAUCUUGGCACCUGCCAAAUUUUCACUACCUCUAUACACCCAGCUUUGUCUGAGCGAGCCACCAUUAUUUCUUCCCUUGACCAUUGCAAUAGUCACUGCAUCAGUCUCCAGGAUCCCUCUUUCUCCUCUCUUCCCUGAUCAGUAAUGCCCUCAUGAUCUUCACAUCCUUUAUUGAUCUCCGUCUCAGGCAGUCUGCCGUCAGGGGGAGAUAAAAUUUUCUCUGCAGCCUCAUCUCCUACUUCACCCCUCUUGUAACGGCACUCCUGCUACAUUAUGCAGUGUUUCUGGAUCGUAACAUGCACACUCCUGCUUCAGGGCAAUUGCACCUGCUCUCACUCCCAUGUGGCUUGCUCCCUCCCUUCAUUCAGAUGUCUGCUUAAAUGGCAUUUUUUCACACAGGUCUUCCCUAAAGUGUGGUGUCCCUAUCCCUCUCCAUCCUCUUGCCUGGCUCCACUUCUUCAUACCAUUAAUCCCACCUGACAUUAUAUUACAUCUCCAUCACUAGAAUUUAUGCUUCAUGAGGGCAGGGACUUUAUAUGUAUUCUUCACUCUGGGAUUCUCAGUACCUAGAGCAGUACCUGACACAUAAUAGGUGUUCAGUAAAUAUCUACUGAACCAAUAAACAAAUGAACAAAACCA
This is a long non-coding RNA of Prionailurus viverrinus (fishing cat), 2216 nucleotides long. RefSeq lists it as uncharacterized. The record is from RefSeq and is a predicted model, not a curated record. The transcript is spliced from 4 exons. Lineage: Eukaryota; Metazoa; Chordata; Mammalia; Carnivora; Felidae.